GAUGAACGCUAGCUACAGGCUUAACACAUGCAAGUCGAGGGGUAGCAGGGUCUAGCAAUAGGCCGCUGACGACCGGCGCACGGGUGAGUAACACGUAUCCAACCUGCCUUUAACUCGGGGAUAGCCUUUCGAAAGAAAGAUUAAUACCCGAUAGUAUAUUUUUUCCGCAUGGAUUUAAUAUUAAAGAACUUUGGUUAAAGAUGGGGAUGCGUUCCAUUAGUUUGUUGGGGGGGUAACGGCCCACCAAGACAUCGAUGGAUAGGGGUUCUGAGAGGAAGGUCCCCCACACUGGUACUGAGACACGGACCAGACUCCUACGGGAGGCAGCAGUGAGGAAUAUUGGUCAAUGGGCGCAAGCCUGAACCAGCCAAGUAGCGUGAAGGAUGACUGCCCUAUGGGUUGUAAACUUCUUUUAUAUGGGAAUAAAAGCAUUCACGUGUGAAUGUCUGUAUGUACCAUACGAAUAAGCAUCGGCUAACUCCGUGCCAGCAGCCGCAGUAAAAC
RNAcentral lists this ribosomal RNA (504 nucleotides) under uncultured bacterium. RNAcentral's name for it is "bacterial SSU rRNA". It matches the Rfam family "Bacterial small subunit ribosomal RNA", at positions 28 to 526 of the family's 1533-position model. The record is from RNAcentral.